GACGAACGCUGGCGGCGUGCCUAAUACAUGCAAGUAGAACGCUGAAGCUUGGUGCUUGCACCGAGCGGAUGAGUUGCGAACGGGUGAGUAACGCGUAGGUAACCUGCCUGGUAGCGGGGGAUAACUAUUGGAAACGAUAGCUAAUACCGCAUAAGAGUAGAUGUUGCAUGACAUUUGCUUAAAAGGUGCAAUUGCAUCACUACAAGAUGGACCUGCGUUGUAUUAGCUAGUUGGUGAGGUAACGGCUCACCAAGGCAACGAUACAUAGCCGACCUGAGAGGGUGAUCGGCCCCACUUGGACUGAGACACGGCCCCGACUCCUACGGGAGGCAGCAGUAGGGAAUCUUCGGCAAUGGACGGAAGUCUGACCGAGCAACGCCGCGUGAGUGAAGAAGGUUUUCGGAUCGUAAAGCUCUGUUGUAAGAGAAGAACGAGUGUGAGAGUGGAAAGUUCACACUGUGACGGUAUCUUACCAGAAAGGGACGGCUAACUACGUG
This 497-nucleotide ribosomal RNA is filed under the name uncultured bacterium. Its description in RNAcentral is "partial 16S ribosomal RNA". It matches the Rfam family "Bacterial small subunit ribosomal RNA", at positions 28 to 507 of the family's 1533-position model. The record is from RNAcentral.